UUCCACACACAAAGAGCAACAAUAUGUUCUCAGUUUGAGUAACUUCUUUUAGAUUAGGGGAAACAAAAUAAGAAAGAACAAAAGCAAAGUGUUCACAAGAGAGCAUGGAAGUGUCUACACUGAGGAAGUUUCAAUGUGUGGUGGGAAAACAUUCCCUGUGAGCACUGCCAUGGGGUCUCCAUCGAGGCUCCUGUCAUGGUGCCAGGCAGGGGAAUCACUGCCUACCUGCAAGUCAUCAGGAAAAAGAAGAUUAUCUAUGACAAUUCCUUAGCAGACUGAACACACAUUGCAAUUUGCAGAGCAAAUGGCUGCCACCUGCUCCAAGGAGCACUGGUGGAACCUGGAGUGGAGAGAAGAGCCCAGCUGCACCAGGAUUGGCUUUUAGCAUGAGGUCAGUCAGUGUGAGGCAUGUUAUCUGUGCAAGCUGUGAGUUUGGGCUUGCCUGUGACAUACCUGUCUUAAUCUAAACCUGCUGCAGUGGACAGGUUUUAAGGCCCUUCCUUAAUAAUUUUCCAGACAGCUCUGUUUCCAGACAGCUCAGUGAGGCUGGAUUUCACAUCCUUUUCUAGCCGUGUGGAUGUGAACUCACAGCCCAGGGGAUCUGAGAGCUGCCCUGAGCUUCAGGGCAUGUCCCCUGCUCCCUCAGCAGUGCCGGAGCAGGGAAAUAUGCUCUUGGACCAGGCGCGCCUUGUGACUCCCAGGGUUUACUUGGGCACAUCUGGACCAUCAGUCUCAAAGGCUGUACACUUGCUUGCUCAGACAAAGCAACAAAACUGUGAUGUAAAGGUAGAAGAUCCCCCAGCACAGGAACUGCAAGGGAUAUUUUGUUCAUGCUAGCAGUAAUACUAAGAACAAGUGAAAUUCCGACCUUUGCCUAACAGGAGUGCCAACGAGCUGCUCACAGCAGAAGGUAGGCUACUUCAUGGGGGUAUACUUAGAUGCCUCUUGACAGCCCUCAUGGCCACCUACCACAGUGAAUGGUGGCCAGC
RNAcentral lists this long non-coding RNA (989 nucleotides) under Numida meleagris (helmeted guineafowl). RNAcentral describes it as "lncRNA (ENSNMEG00000011529.1)". The record is from RNAcentral. Lineage: Eukaryota; Metazoa; Chordata; Aves; Galliformes; Numididae.